RNAcentral lists this ribosomal RNA (497 nucleotides) under uncultured bacterium. Its description in RNAcentral is "partial 16S ribosomal RNA". It matches the Rfam family "Bacterial small subunit ribosomal RNA", at positions 28 to 507 of the family's 1533-position model. The record is from RNAcentral.
GAUGAACGCUGGCGGCGUGCCUAAUACAUGCAAGUCGAGCGAACGGACGAGAAGCUUGCUUCUCUGAUGUUAGCGGCGGACGGGUGAGUAGCACGUGGACAACCUACCUAUAAGACUGGGAUAACUUCGGGAAACCGUAGCUAAUACCGGAUAAUAUUUUGAACCGCAUGGUUCAAAAGUGAAAGACGGUCUUGCUGUCACUUAUAGAUGGAUCCGCGCUGCAUUAGCUAGUUGGUAAGGUAACGGCUUACCAAGGCAACGAUGCAUAGCCGACCUGAGAGGGUGAUCGGCCACACUGGAACUGAGACACGGUCCAGACUCCUACGGGAGGCAGCAGUAGGGAAUCUUCCGCAAUGGGCGAAAGCCUGACGGAGCAACGCCGCGUGAGUGAUGAAGGUCUUCGGAUCGUAAAACUCUGUUAUUAGGGAAGAACAUAUGUGUAAGUAACUGUGCACAUCUUGACGGUACCUAAUCAGAAAGCCACGGCUAACUACGUG